CACCAGACUCCUACGGGAGGCAGCAGUGGGGAAUAUUGCACAAUGGGGGAAACCCUGAUGCAGCGACGCCGCGUGAGCGAUGAAGUAUUUCGGUAUGUAAAGCUCUAUCAGCAGGGAAGAAGAUGACGGUACCUGACUAAGAAGCCCCGGCUAACUACGUGCCAGCAGCCGCGGUAAUACGUAGGGGGCAAGCGUUAUCCGGAUUUACUGGGUGUAAAGGGAGCGUAGACGGCGAUGCAAGCCAGAUGUGAAAGCCCGGGGCUCAACCCCGGGACUGCAUUUGGAACUGUGUGGCUGGAGUGUCGGAGAGGCAGGCGGAAUUCCUAGUGUAGCGGUGAAAUGCGUAGAUAUUAGGAGGAACACCAGUGGCGAAGGCGGCCUGCUGGACGAUGACUGACGUUGAGGCUCGAAAGCGUGGGGAGCAAACAGGAUUAGAUACCCGAGUA
RNAcentral lists this ribosomal RNA (446 nucleotides) under uncultured bacterium. Its description in RNAcentral is "partial 16S ribosomal RNA". It matches the Rfam family "Bacterial small subunit ribosomal RNA", at positions 329 to 792 of the family's 1533-position model. The record is from RNAcentral.